This 469-nucleotide ribosomal RNA is filed under the name uncultured bacterium. Its description in RNAcentral is "partial 16S ribosomal RNA". It matches the Rfam family "Bacterial small subunit ribosomal RNA", at positions 28 to 507 of the family's 1533-position model. The record is from RNAcentral.
GACGAACGCUGGCGGCGUGCUUAACACAUGCAAGUCGAACGGAAAGGCCCUGCUUGCCGGGUGCUCGAGUGGCGAACGGGUGAGUAACACGUGAGUGAUCUGCCCCUUACUUUGGGAUAAGCCUGGGAAACUGGGUCUAAUACUGGAUAGGACCAUGCUGUAGGUGGUGUGGUGGAAAGAUUAGUUUCGGUAAGGGAUGAGCUCGCGGCCUAUCAGCUUGUUGGUGGGGUAAUGGCCUACCAAGGCGUCGACGGGUAGCCGGCCUGAGAGGGUGGACGGCCACAUUGGGACUGAGAUACGGCCCAGACUCCUACGGGAGGCAGCAGUGGGGAAUAGUGCACAAUGGGCGCAAGCCUGAUGCAGCGACGCCGCGUGGGGGAUGACGGCCUUCGGGUUGUAAACUCCUUUCAGCCAUGACGAAGCCCUUGUGGUGGCGGUAGUGGUAGAAGAAGCACCGGCUAACUACGUG